RNAcentral lists this ribosomal RNA (253 nucleotides) under uncultured bacterium. RNAcentral's name for it is "partial 16S ribosomal RNA". It matches the Rfam family "Bacterial small subunit ribosomal RNA", at positions 524 to 776 of the family's 1533-position model. The record is from RNAcentral.
UACGUAGGGUGCAAGCGUUGUCCGGAAUUAUUGGGCGUAAAGAGCUCGUAGGCGGUUCGUCGCGUCGGCUGUGAAAUCCCGAGGCUCAACCUCGGGUCUGCAGUCGAUACGGGCGGACUGGAGUUCGGCAGGGGAGACUGGAAUUCCUGGUGUAGCGGUGAAAUGCGCAGAUAUCAGGAGGAACACCGGUGGCGAAGGCGGGUCUCUGGGCCGAUAUAGACGCUGAGGAGCGAAAGCGUGGGGAGCGAACAGG